Molecule: ribosomal RNA, 253 nt
Filed under: uncultured bacterium
Lineage: Bacteria
Description: partial 16S ribosomal RNA
Rfam family: Bacterial small subunit ribosomal RNA
Source: RNAcentral
UACGGGGGGAGCAAGCAUUGUUCGGAAUCACUGGGCGUAAAGGGCGUCUAGGCGGUUCGGUAAGUGGGAUGUGAAAUGCCGGGGCUCACCCCGGGACCUGCAUCCCAAACUGCUGAGCUUGAGUACAGGAGAGGGUAGGGGAAUUCCAGGUGUAGCGGUGAAAUGCGUAGAUAUCUGGAGGAACACCGGUGGCGAAGGCGCCUACCUGGCCUGUUACUAACGCUGAAGCGCGAAAGCUAGGGGAGCAAACGGG